UUAAGUUCAGCGGGUAUUCCUACCUAAUCCGAGGUCAACCACUAGAAAAUAGGGGGUUUAACGGCUGGUGACCAGGCUACUGCAAAAGCGAGAAGAAAUUACUACGCUGAGAGUACACCUGAACUCCGCCACUGUCUUUAGGGAACUACAGGGUAGCCAGUAGAGUCCCAACGCGAAGCAACUAGGGCUUCAGGGUCGAA
This 200-nucleotide unclassified non-coding RNA is filed under the name Hypoxylon sp. RNAcentral describes it as "partial internal transcribed spacer 2". The record is from RNAcentral. Lineage: Eukaryota; Fungi; Ascomycota; Sordariomycetes; Xylariales; Hypoxylaceae.